CUUUAUUGCUGCCAUUGUCCAUGUCAGAUAUUGUUAGCAUUUCCCCGUGCUAACAGUUAGCUUAUGCCACGUGAAAGUGUUGUAGGGGAAAAUGUCGGUGUUUGCGCUGCAGCCUCGAUACUCUCAUGUUGACAACUUUUUCCUGAAACCGGUUUUGUAGCUUUCUUACUGUGUAACUGUUGUCGUGUCGACAGGUGCAUGUUGACUGAGUGUAAAAUUGGGUCUCUGCCACAGGUUAUUAUGUUUAUGGAUAUAACAUGACUUGUGAGCACGCUUCGUAUUCGUAUAACAGGUGAAACUAACAUUUUAAAUGGAUGCAUCUCAUCUAUCUCACCGUGCUACGUCGAGGACUGCAGUAUUAUGCAUGUUAGCUCAGUGGCAUAAUUGGUACACCAAUACCACUGAGCAGUCAUUUAAGUUAUAAGCUACACCUGUGCUAGCCCUAGCUUGUAGCCAACACGCAGGGCCACCGACAUGGGAACAUAUAAAAGAUGCUGCUAAUACACCGGUAUGCCACCAUACAGUCUAUGCCACUCCUGUAGCUCAAGUACAGUAUCAACGUGAGACUGUCAAACCAACACCGCCCCCUGAUGAAUAUGCAAAAUUGGAUUACAACAUGGACAUCAGAGCCAAUGGUAAAUUACCAAAGAUGACGCACACCGAUCAGCUGAUCAUCUUAGGAGCCAGGCUGUGAACUGCUGAGAUGAUCUGCGCACUCAACCACCAGGCAGAAUGAGACUGAGAAGAACUGAACCGAAGAAUCCUCUUACCUAAGUGAGAUGCUGGGGUGAGGAAGUUUCCGGGAUGGUGGGGCGGAUGGCUG
Molecule: long non-coding RNA, 823 nt
Organism: Lates calcarifer (barramundi perch)
Lineage: Eukaryota; Metazoa; Chordata; Actinopteri; Centropomidae
Exons: 4
Source: RefSeq, a predicted model, not a curated record